CUUCAGAUCCGGAUCUGAGGAUAUCUCAGAUUUUGGUAUAGCCGUGCACAUGUUCGACCUCUACAGAUAUCCAUACGAGGUCUAAUUUGAUUAGAGGCUCUUUGAUCUCCUCGGAGUACUAGCUCCUUUGCAGAGAUCGCUUCUUUGAUGGUUGAUUAGGAUCUUCUUCAAUCUUUAAGACUAGAUUUUGACAAGGUCAAUCACCUUAUCAAACUACGACUCCAAUUUUAAUUUAAAUUUAAACUAAUUUAAAUUUAAAUCAAAUCUGAUCUGAUCCUAAUCCAAAAAAGAGAUAAGAGAGGGCAUGUAAGGGCUUUGGCAUGGUGUUUUUGUGGUGCAAAAACCAAGAGGGCGAUCCUUUUCUAGGCGUGAACAUGGGAUGGCACAAGGAGAUAGAAUCCCAG
Molecule: long non-coding RNA, 404 nt
Filed under: Elaeis guineensis (African oil palm)
Lineage: Eukaryota; Viridiplantae; Streptophyta; Magnoliopsida; Arecales; Arecaceae
Description: long non-coding RNA (EGUI_LNC015794)
Source: RNAcentral